This is a non-coding RNA of Blastomyces dermatitidis ER-3, 99 nucleotides long. The record is from Rfam. NCBI's taxonomy places the organism in Eukaryota, Fungi, Ascomycota, Eurotiomycetes, Onygenales, Ajellomycetaceae.
GGGAAGAUGGCCGAGUGGUUAUGGCGCUACGUUCAGGUCUUGGCAUUGCCGAGAUUCGUAGUAGGGCAACCUGCGUGGGUUCGAGUCCCACUCUUCUCA